AGUGAACGCUGGCGGUAGGCCUAACACAUGCAAGUCGAACGGCAGCACAGUAAGAGCUUGCUCUUACGGGUGGCGAGUGGCGGACGGGUGAGGAAUACAUCGGAAUCUACUUUUUCGUGGGGGAUAACGUAGGGAAACUUACGCUAAUACCGCAUACGACUACCGGGGAAAGGCAGGGAUCUUCGGACCUUUCGCGGAUGGAUGAACCGAUGUCGGAUUAGCUAGUUGGCGGGGUAAAGGCCCACCAAGGCGACGAUCCGUAGCUGGUCUGAGAGGAUGAUCAGCCACACUGGAACUGAGACACGGUCCAGACUCCUACGGGAGGCAGCAGUGGGGAAUAUUGGACAAUGGGCGCAAGCCUGAUCCAGCCAUACCGCGUGGGUGAAGAAGGCCUUCGGGUUGUAAAGCCCUUUUGUUGGGAAAGAAAAGCAGCAGGUUAAUACCCCGCUGUUCUGACGGUACCCAAAGAAUAAGCACCGGCUAACUUCGUG
RNAcentral lists this ribosomal RNA (491 nucleotides) under uncultured bacterium. RNAcentral's name for it is "partial 16S ribosomal RNA". It matches the Rfam family "Bacterial small subunit ribosomal RNA", at positions 29 to 507 of the family's 1533-position model. The record is from RNAcentral.